CCUUUUUUUUUCCCUUUUUUGGUACUUUUGGUUUUAAUUUUUCUUCCUGUAUAACUGCUUGUCUCAUGCACUCCUAGCUAUUUGGCUGUGUGAUUUACAACCUUGUUCUUCUCUACCAGUUAUCUUCUGGAAAUUAGUUUUCACAAUUGUUACCUCAAUGAAAGUUGUCAUGGAUUGCAGAUUUUUGCCAUCUUAUACAGAAAGUGGAGUAAAUCUUCUAUUUUUACCUCUAAUCAAUUUUAUAUCAUCUAAAAAUUAGCUUUCUUUGUGUGAUUUCUGAACAUAACAUUCUGAGGUUAUACUCUCAACUGGAUAGGUUCAAUUACGACCGAGAAUCCCCAUGUCCUAAGUUGGCGACUUCCAUUGCACUUUGAAAGGCCCCAAGAGGAUCAUGUCAUAUUGAUGCAUAUUUUGUUUAUUCCUUUUAUUUCUUAUUUUUGUUCGUUGUUUUAAACUAGUACAUGAGCAUUUCGUACUCGAUUCUACUUUCUUUAGAUUGUUAUUUUGCCAAAUUUGCUUCGAACUCUUUACUUUGAAAGAGGAGAAUCCUUAGCUACCGCAGUCCGCUCCUCCCACACAUAAUAAUAAACAAUUCUAAGAGAAGUUUGGUUUGUAAUUCUUGACCAUCAAUGUUGGACAAGAAACCUGUCAUCCUGUAACUAUUGUUAUGAACUAUACCUACGGUAGAACUGGAAAUUUGAUAUAAAUUUGCA
Molecule: long non-coding RNA, 713 nt
Filed under: Olea europaea (common olive)
Lineage: Eukaryota; Viridiplantae; Streptophyta; Magnoliopsida; Lamiales; Oleaceae
Description: long non-coding RNA (OEUR_LNC014178)
Source: RNAcentral